Molecule: ribosomal RNA, 442 nt
Filed under: uncultured bacterium
Lineage: Bacteria
Description: partial 16S ribosomal RNA
Rfam family: Bacterial small subunit ribosomal RNA
Source: RNAcentral
CCUACGGGUGGCAGCAGUGGGGAAUAUUGCACAAUGGGGGGAACCCUGAUGCAGCGAAGCCGCGUGAGUGAAGAAGUAUUUCGGUACGUAAAGCCCUAUCAGCAGGGAAGAAAAAAGGACGGUACCUGCGUAAGAAGCCCCGGCUAACUACGUGCCAGCAGCCGCGGUAAUACGGAGGGGGCAAGCGUUAUCCGGAAUUACUGGGGGUAAAGGGAGCGUAGACGGGAAUGCAAGUCCGGAGGGGAAUGGGGCAGCUCAAAUGCCGAACUGCGCUGGAAACUGUAUGGCUUGAGUGCAGGAGGGGUAAGCGGAAUGCCUGGUGUAGCGGUGAAAUGCGUAGAUAUCAGGAGGAACACCGGUGGCGAAGGCGGCAUACUGGACUGUAACUGACGUUGAGGCUCGAGAGCGUGGGGAGCAAACAGGAUUAGAUACCCUGGUAGUC